RNAcentral lists this ribosomal RNA (253 nucleotides) under uncultured bacterium. Its description in RNAcentral is "partial 16S ribosomal RNA". It matches the Rfam family "Bacterial small subunit ribosomal RNA", at positions 524 to 776 of the family's 1533-position model. The record is from RNAcentral.
UACGUAGGGGGCGAGCGUUGUCCGGAUUUAUUGGGCGUAAAGAGCGUGUAGGCGGCCUGGCAAGUCCGCUGGGAAAACUCGAGGCUUAACCUCGAGACGUCGGUGGAAACUGCCUGGCUAGAGUCCGGAAGAGGAGAGUGGAAUUCCUGGUGUAGCGGUGAAAUGCGCAGAUAUCAGGAAGAACACCCGUGGCUAAGGCGGCUCUCUAGUACGGUACUGACGCUGAGACGCGAAAGCGUGGGGAGCGAACAGG